ACGGGUGAGUAAUGUCUGGGGAUCUGCCCGAUAGAGGGGGAUAACCACUGGAAACGGUGGCUAAUACCGCAUAACGCCGCAAGACCAAGGAGGGGGACCUUCGGGCCUCUCACUAUCGGAUGAACCCAGAUGGGAUUAGCUAGUAGGCGGGGUAAUGGCCCACCUAGGCGACGAUCCCUAGCUGGUCUGAGAGGAUGACCAGCCACACUGGAACUGAGACACGGUCCAGACUCCUACGGGAGGCAGCAGUGGGGAAUAUUGCACAAUGGGCGCAAGCCUGAUGCAGCCAUGCCGCGUGUAUGAAGAAGGCCUUCGGGUUGUAAAGUACUUUCAGCGGGGAGGAAGGCGAUGGGGUUAAUAACCUUAUCGAUUGACGUUACCCGCAGAAGAAGCACCGGCUAACUCCGUGCCAGCAGCCGCGGUAAUACGGAGGGUGCAAGCGUUAAUCGGAAUUACUGGGCGUAAAGCGCACGCAGGCGGUCUGUUAAGUCAGAUGUGAAAUCCCCGGGCUUAACCUGGGAACUGCAUUUGAAACUGGCAGGCUUGAGUCUUGUAGAGGGGGGUAGAAUUCCAGGUGU
Molecule: ribosomal RNA, 578 nt
Filed under: uncultured Pantoea sp.
Lineage: Bacteria; Pseudomonadati; Pseudomonadota; Gammaproteobacteria; Enterobacterales; Erwiniaceae
Description: bacterial SSU rRNA
Rfam family: Bacterial small subunit ribosomal RNA
Source: RNAcentral